RNAcentral lists this transfer RNA (74 nucleotides) under Alphaproteobacteria bacterium. Its description in RNAcentral is "tRNA-Cys". It matches the Rfam family "tRNA". From Rfam's summary of the family: Transfer RNA (tRNA) molecules are approximately 80 nucleotides in length. Their secondary structure includes four short double-helical elements and three loops (D, anti-codon, and T loops). Further hydrogen bonds mediate the characteristic L-shaped molecular structure. tRNAs have two regions of fundamental functional importance: the anti-codon, which is responsible for specific mRNA codon recognition, and the 3' end, to which the tRNAs corresponding amino acid is attached (by aminoacyl-tRNA synthetases). tRNAs cope with the degeneracy of the genetic code in two manners: having more than one tRNA (with a specific anti-codon) for a particular amino acid; and 'wobble' base-pairing, i.e. permitting non-standard base-pairing at the 3rd anti-codon position. Lineage: Bacteria; Pseudomonadati; Pseudomonadota; Alphaproteobacteria. The record is from RNAcentral.
GGCGCGAUGGCAGAGUGGUGAUGCAGAGGACUGCAAAUCCUCGUACGCCGGUUCGAUUCCGGCUCGUGCCUCCA